AGCAGCCGCGGUAAUUCCAGCUCCAAUAGCGUAUAUUAAAGUUGUUGCAGUUAAAAAGCUCGUAGUUGAAUUUCGGGGUCAGUAGGUCGGUCGUGCCACUGGUAUGAACUGGUUUUACUGAUUCCUCCCUCUUGAAGAACUGUAAUGCCAUUAAUUUGGUGUUGCAGGGAAUCAGGACUGUUACUUUGAAAAAUUAGAGUGUUUAAAGCAGGCUUUAGCUUGAAUACAUUAGCAUGGAAUAAUGAAAUAGGACGUUUGAUCCUAUUUUGUUGGUUUCUAGGAUUGACGUAAUGAUUAAUAGGGAUAGUUGGGGGCAUUAGUAUUCAAUUGUCAGAGGUGAAAUUCUUGGAUUUAUUGAAGACUAACUACUGCGAAAGCAUUUGCCAAGGAUGUUUUCAUUAAUCAAGAACGAAAGUUAGGGGACCGAAGACGAUCAGAUACUGUCGUAGUCUUAACCAUAAACUAUGCCGACUAGGGAUCGGAUGAUGUUAAUUUUUAAUGUACUCAUUCGGCGUCCGUU
RNAcentral lists this ribosomal RNA (520 nucleotides) under uncultured Glomus. RNAcentral's name for it is "SSU rRNA". It matches the Rfam family "Eukaryotic small subunit ribosomal RNA", at positions 569 to 1091 of the family's 1831-position model. Lineage: Eukaryota; Fungi; Glomeromycota; Glomeromycetes; Glomerales; Glomeraceae. The record is from RNAcentral.